CUUUUGUUUGUCCCUCACUGCACCACUCAGCCUCCUCCGCCCCGGAAGUGACGUCAGCGACGGGCGCGAACGCGGCACCCUGGGCGUCGCCAUGUUUGUAAAGGGAGUUGUAAAGGCCUUUCUUGCCUCCCUUCAGUGCGCCUGCGCCAGGGUGCGUAAUGCGUGGGUGUCGCUGGUGCGCUGAGUGGCUGGAAACCGAAACGCGCUCGGACCCGGCAGCAGCCCGCCCCAUCCUCCGUGCACCCACAUCCCCUUCCCAAGAUCCUGCUGCUGGAGAAGAUGCAGCCCGGGACAGCAGGGAAUUCCGGGCACAGAUGGAGCUGGAAUCAAGUGUCUGGACGCCAGCUCUGCAUCUUCAUGGAGCCUCCUGCGACCCUACACUUUUUUACACUGACAAAAGUAAUGGCAGUCGAGGAGGAAAAUAUCCAUACGUUGGAAAACCGUGCAGCCGUUAAAACAAAAAAUGUUCAAUGCGCACCAAUACGGACGACUUCCGAGAUACCUUAGGUGGAAAGAAACGCAAAAAGAACAGCCUUGCGAUGCUACUGCUAGUGAGCGGGGUAUACACGGUGUGGGCUGACGCACUAGCUGUCUGAUAAGAUGCACAAGCAGAAGUCAGUGGAGACCUGGCACCCGCGUGGCAUGCUGCCGUUUGAGUACUAGGUUGGAGGUGCAUGCAGUUGUAUCGGCGAGUGUGUGCACCAGGACCAGCUAUCUGAUGAUGGGCACAAGUUGCUAAUUGGCUGGGCCACAAGGUGAACACCAGCCAGUCGUGGCUGGUACAUGGGACAAGUGGCACAGACAGGGCACACACUUGGGAAGGACAUCAAGAAGCUAACGGUGAUGGCCAGAGUCCCGCUAAAGCUCAAGACUCUCCCCUUUGCAGUCUUGAGACUGCACCCAGCCCACUCCCUGGGUUUGCAUGUGCUCCCACCUUUACAAUGAAUAGCCAUGACUACACUAGCAAACACAGCCCCUCCCUCUGAGUCACACACAGUCCUUUCAUAUGGUUCAGUCCCAUUUUACAUAACUGUAAGUGAAGCAUGUGAGUGGUUAAAGGAACCCUUCUAGUCUCAGGCUUUAGGCGCGGCUGAGGCCAAGGGGCUGCUGAAGAACAGGACUUGCUUGCAGCUCCCAUCCUGGGAGUCCAGCAGGGGCAGCAAAUGAGCCAGUAAUUGGCCUCCCUGUUGACAGCCUGGGGACAGAGAGGAGAGGACGCAGCCCCAGCAGGGGAGAGUCAGGGAAAGGCUCUCCCAGAAGGUGACUUUAAGGGGAGAUGGGAAGAGGGAGAGAGGUAGAAGAAGAGGUCGAGGUCGAGAAGAAGGGAAGAGGAUGGGAGGAGGAAGGAAGAAGAGGUCGAGGUCCGAGGUCCGUGGAAGGAGUGGAGUGGACGGCCGUGAAAGUAGUGGGCAGCGGUGGCUUUAUUUCGGGAAUGCGGGGAGAGAGACCCCCCGCUGGCCCCGGGGAGAGGAGACUGGCGCACUGGCUGCUGGAAUCUGGCGAUCUCUCUCUGACCGGCGAUCUCUCUCUCUGGCGAUCUCUCUCUCUGGCGAUCUCUCUCGGACACGUGGCGUGGGGGAAUAUAAAUAGCCUAAGCUUAGCAGUGCCCUAAGGCCAUUAGAGAUGUAUAGGUAUUUCAUUGGCGCACAGGUUUAGCGCCAGAAAGCAAGUUCCUAGGGAGGGGGUAUAGGGUUACAGUCAAGUCUAUAGGGGGCGGGGGGAGGCAGGAGUUUUCUAACCUAGCUGCAGCCUUUCCUGGUUACAGUGUCCGGUCUGGGCCAGCAACUCUUUCAUAUUUAAUCUGUAUGAAGUUGUUUUAGAACUGGGGAUCAAACUCACAAACUCAUGUUUGCCAAGCAAGUGCUUAAAACCACUGAGCCAAAUCCCUGACCCUGUGAGUGAAAAGUAAAAGAAUGCGUGUGGCAGGGCUGGGGAGUAAAGUGGGGCAACCUCAUUGGCUUAUCCCCAGCCUGGCCUGAAGAUUGCUAAGGAGUCUGGGAAACUCACAUGAUCAGGGACGCACAGCUAGAGACAGGGGAGGAAGAGAGUGUGUCUUCCUCCCCUCUACCACAGGGCUCUGGGGUGGUGCCACUGAAGCUGCCCUUCCACAAGCCCCACAUUCAACGUCCACAAACUCCCAAGGGCCAGACUCUGGCUUUUACAAUCCACGUGGGGGCGACAGAGGAUCACAGGAGACAAUUCCACGCAGCUGAGCUAAGUGUGCAGGCUAUCACUUUGAGACAGCCCCAUCCUGACUUUGGGGGGUGGAUACUGGAAAUUGAACUCAGGACCUUGUGCUUGCCAGGCAGAUGCUAUGCUGCUGAGCUAUAUCACUGGCUCUCUUGAGGUUUUUUUUUUUUAAAUGAGUUUCUCAUUCAUUUUUUGCUUGGUUUCUCCUUAUUGAGAUUUCUAAGAAUUCUUUGUGUUAUGGCUCUCACUGUAUUAAAAUGCCAGUUAACUGUCUCCUUCAUUAGGUAUAGCACUGCUUUAUGGAAAAUGUCCUAUUUACCCAUGUAUGCUUGGUAGCCAACACAGAGAAACACACACAAUUGGAGUCCAGUAAAAUAUUUGCUGAAGAAAUAAAGAAGUGUGGAGCUACUAUGCGGCAGGAA
Molecule: long non-coding RNA, 2612 nt
Organism: Cavia porcellus (domestic guinea pig)
Lineage: Eukaryota; Metazoa; Chordata; Mammalia; Rodentia; Caviidae
Exons: 2
Source: RefSeq, a predicted model, not a curated record